GAUGAACGCUGGCGGCGUGCCUAAUACAUGCAAGUCGAGCGAACAGACGAGGAGCUUGCUCCUCUGACGUUAGCGGCGGACGGGUGAGUAACACGUGGAUAACCUACCUAUAAGACUGGGAUAACUUCGGGAAACCGGAGCUAAUACCGGAUAACAUGUUGAACCGCAUGGUUCAACAGUGAAAGACGGUCUUGCUGUCACUUAUAGAUGGAUCCGCGCCGCAUUAGCUAGUUGGUAAGGUAACGGCUUACCAAGGCAACGAUGCGUAGCCGACCUGAGAGGGUGAUCGGCCACACUGGAACUGAGACACGGUCCAGACUCCUACGGGAGGCAGCAGUAGGGAAGCUUCCGCAAUGGGCGGAAGCCUGACGGAGCAACGCCGCGUGAGUGAAGAAGGUCUUCGGAUCGUAAAACUCUGUUAUUAGGGAAGAACAAAUGUGUAAGUAACUAUGCACGUCUUGACGGCACCUAAUCAGAAAGCCACGGCUAACUACGUG
RNAcentral lists this ribosomal RNA (497 nucleotides) under uncultured bacterium. RNAcentral's name for it is "partial 16S ribosomal RNA". It matches the Rfam family "Bacterial small subunit ribosomal RNA", at positions 28 to 507 of the family's 1533-position model. The record is from RNAcentral.